Taeniopygia guttata (zebra finch) is the source of this 3530-nucleotide long non-coding RNA. The record is from Ensembl. Lineage: Eukaryota; Metazoa; Chordata; Aves; Passeriformes; Estrildidae.
CAUGGUUUUCACCUCUCCUGUCGCUCAACAACCAACCAAGGCCUCCCAGCCUCCCCUCCCUUUGCCAUUGCUCGUUUUAUUGAUUGGUUUUUAAAUCCGGGUGUGAUUGCCAUGAUUAGUCCAAGUGUCUGCCUGGCUUGCUGAUGCUCAAGGGAGCGCUCUGCCUUCCCCACGUCCCCCCCAGCACCUGCAUCUUUCUUUUCUCCUCCUGCCUCUGUGUGUGCAUGUGUCUGUGGGUGACAGCUGCCCUGUGGUGGAUGGGAUGUGCCCAACCCAUCCAGUCUGAGCCUGUGGCUUUUUAUUUAUUUAUUUUUAAUUUUUUUUUUUCCCCCUGCUCCUUUUCCCCCUCAGAAGUGAGGAUAGCAAAUCCUCGUUUGUGAAGAGCUAAACAGCCAAGAUUGCUGAACCAAAUCAUAAGAUGCUUAUAACAAAAGAUGCUCAAAACCAACCCAAAAAUAGAGAUCAGGACUUGGUUUAGGCGGUUUGUUCCUGUCCUUUUCCCUUCCUGCUCCCACUCCCAAUCUCUUGGAUUGACUCUUUUAAAGAGGACAUAUUUUGGAGUCAACACAUUUGGAGAAAACAUCCUUUAAAUACCAGGUCUGAUAACCUGAAACCCAAAGGAGAAAAUAAUUAUAAAGGAAAACAUUCUCUCUAAUUUUCCUUCCAAAGCCUAACAUGGCCCCCCACGAGCUUUUCCCCCCUCUCUUCCUCACAUCUGUUGAUUGGAAUUUUAAAAUUAACUCAGGCAGAAUAUGAAGAAUAAAUCAGGAUUUCAGGUAAUCUCCUUGCUCUUAAUGAAGGAUAAAAGCCAAUACAGGAAUUUGGCCUUUUAACUUUUAUAAAAGCAUCUUAGUUUUGGGACUACACCUUUUUUUUUUUGAUAUUGGAAUGUGUGUGGGUGUGUAAAUCCAAAUGUGUACAUUCCUGUGGCCACAAACUGUUUUAGAGAAGGGAAUUUAUCUCCACAUCACAUUUGUGUUCACUUGUAUUAGAGGAAAAAAACAAUAAAUAUCGAUAUACACUUCAAUGUAUAUAAAAGCAAAGAAGAGGAAGGGGGGGACAAGGAAUGAGCAUCCUGCCUCAGAGCUUGGUUUCAGGGAGAACUCCCAUCUGCUUCACCCAUGGCAUGGAAGAGGCAUGGCUGGGAUGGCUCUGAACAAGGGGAUAAAGCUUUGUGGCAUUUCCUUUGCUUUGGCUCAGGGAAAUUGGCAUUCUGCAGACAACAAAUCCCUCUGGGAAACCUGAGGGUGCCUGAGCUGAGGGAUGUGGGAGGGAGAGGUGGGCACUGCCCCCUUGCCCUGCUGCCCAGGCACCCAAAACCUGUCAGUGCUGCUCGAAAUGCAACUCCCAGAGCUGCCAGCUCCUGGCAGGGACUUGUGACCACACAGGUGUCCCAGCCCAGCUCCUGCCCUGCCACCUGCACCCAUUUCUUUUUGUCCAGCUGGAUCUCAGCAGCUCUGCUUGUUCCCUGCCCUUGCUGCGUCCCUGUGUCCCCUUGAGCCCCGUCCUGCCUGUCCCUGCUCCCCCCAGUGCAGCACAUCUGGGUCACUCUGCUUCCCUGCAGCCUGAUGGACACAUCUGGAUGUGGCAGAGGGGUUUACACCCUGCUCAGUCACGGCCCUGAGGGGGAUGGCACCACCUGCACAGAUCCCCCAGGGGCCUCCCUGAAUGGCAAAAAGCACCCCCAGCUCUUCCCAGCCCUUCCCCAGUGCACGCUGCCCCUCUGUGCUCCAGCAGGACGAGGUUUGUGGGGGAAUUGCUGUCCCUGGAGGGGUUUUUCCUGCUGGGAGGGAGCCUCCCACUAAGUGACAAGUGGGUGCAUCAGCUGAGCGGCCUGGGGGUGCCUGGCUGGCUGAGGAGGGGAUGAAGGAGAAUUGUUGAUGCAUUUUUUGGCCAAGCUGGAACGGGCAGCAGCAGCUCUGCCAUGUGCUGGUGCAUGGAGCAGCCUCAUUCCCAAAGGAUCAGGGGAGGAUCACCAGGACACAGCCUUAGAGAGCUCCACACAACUUUCCAAUCCCAUCCUGCCAGUCCUGACUGAUGCAAACUUUUCUGGAAUCAUCAUUUCCUCUGCCAGCCUCCAGAGGAUUCAGCCAGUUGUUCCCUCACACCAAAGGACUCCAGUGCUCCAUGUCUCUAUUCAAAAAAUGCAUUUUCCUCUCUGGUUUUCUCCCCAACACACCUUGGGUUACCACGGAGCUGGAAACUGGCAGUGCUCUGAACUGAAGGCACAGCCACCACAUUCACCCCACGCUGAAUCUGCCAAAUCUGCCUUUGCUCCCUCUCUUUGGAAAGCCGAGGAGGUGCUGGUGGCCCCACGGGUCUCUGAUGUCCUGGAAUCAACCCAGCACCACUGACCAUGAGGAAAAAGCAAGGAAAAAUCCAUUCCAAGCUUCCCCACCUGCAUGCCUGGAAUAGCAGAGCACUGCCUGUACCGUGGUUUCAUUUGGAGCCUUCACCUGAUGUGGUUUCAGACAGAUCCAGGAAUUUAAAUGAGAAGUGGAAUAUGUUCAGGUCUUCAGAUACAAGAGGAAAGAAGCCAGACAAAAUGAUUUUUUUGCCAGUGGAGGCUGAGAACACGUUGCAGGUGGUUUUCUCUGCUGCCCAUGUCUGGGACAAAGAUGCUUUGAUGAGCAAGGGGAAGGCAGGGAUACAAACUGCAGCGUUACAGAAAAACUCUGCUUGCCUUGUGCAGCUUUGAAUCUGAGCUGCCCACAGAAGUCUGCCACAAAGGGUUUUACUGGGCUUGCAGCAAAGCAAAAGCAUUUCAAUCCUCCUUGAAAAAUUAAAGGCAGGAGAAACCUCAGCUCAAAGCAGUAGUUUGACUUAUGCCAGCGCAGGUAUUUAGUCUAGGAAUGCCUUGGUUCUCUCUGCCUCUCCUGGAGAGCUGGGCUGAUCUCAAAAAAUGGCAAGAGGGACUUGCCACACACCACCAAAUUCCUCUGUGCCCUAGGAAAAGGGGGGAAAACCUGAAGGAAAGCCCUGAAGUAAGAGAUAGUGAGUCCACUGUUUUGGUUUUACAAAUGUGUGCUUGGACAUGGUUCUGAUCUGGGGCUCGCUCCCUUUCCCUGGUGUCACACAGCGUUUGCCCCACGGCUCUUCCCAAAUUCCCCUGCACCUUCUGCCAGGGUGAACCUCACUGUGCUCCCCAAAAAGGCUGCCCAUGGCUGGGGGGAGCUGGCAGGAGCUGGAAUCAGGGCCAGGGGAGGUGUUCUCCUGCUGACACAGUGCCAAUGGACUUGAAAACAUCCCUGCUCUGGAGACUGAGCCAUCCAGCAGCACUGCUGGGCGUGGGUCACCCAACAAGUCCAGCUGGAAACUGGUGGAGAGGGAUCCAGUGGGCUGGGAGGAACUGGUAUUGUAGGAUAGAGAAGCAUUUAGGUUGGAAAGACCUCUAAGAUGGAGCUGUUCUUCCUGUCACCAGGGUGAAAUGUCACGGGUUCUGUUCCAUGUGUUGGUGGCACUGACACCAGAGCUCUCGCAGAUGAAAAAGACUGAUCACAGAGUUUAAAUAAAAGCGAGCUGAAGAGUUA